Molecule: non-coding RNA, 46 nt
Organism: Picea glauca (white spruce)
Lineage: Eukaryota; Viridiplantae; Streptophyta; Pinopsida; Pinales; Pinaceae
Source: Rfam
CAAUAGGUCUUUUUUAAGACCACCUUUUUCCGCAUUUCCAUCCCUU